This 912-nucleotide ribosomal RNA is filed under the name uncultured bacterium. RNAcentral describes it as "bacterial SSU rRNA". It matches the Rfam family "Bacterial small subunit ribosomal RNA", at positions 32 to 873 of the family's 1533-position model. The record is from RNAcentral.
AACUGAUGGCGGGUGCCUAACACAUGCAAUCGAACGCGAAAGUUUCUUCGGAAAUGAGUAGAGUGGCGCACGGGUGAGUAACGCGUGGAUUAUCUACCUACUGGUACGGGACAACAGUUGGAAACGACUGCUAAUACCGUAUACGCUGGUAACGGGAAAGGGGGCCUCUUCUUGAAAGCUCUCGCCAGUAGAUGAGUCCGCGUUUCAUUAGCUAGACGGUGGGGUAACGGCCUACCGUGGCAACGAUGAAUAGCAGGCCUGAGAGGGUGGCCUGCCACACUGGGACUGGAACACGGCCCAGACUCCUACGGGAGGCAGCAGUGGGGAAUAUUGCGCAAUGGACGAAAGUCUGACGCAGCGACGCCGCGUGGAGGAUGAAGGUUUUCGGAUCGUAAACUCCUGUCAAGAGGGAAGAAACCUAUCAUGAAUAAUACUUAUGGUAAUUGACGGUACCUCUAGAGGAAGCACCGGCUAAUUCAGUGCCAGCAGCCGCGGUAAUACUGAAGGUGCAAGCGUUAAUCGGAAUCACUGGGCGUAAAGCGCUCGUAGGUGGCUUUGUAAGUCAGGUGUGAAAGCCCACGGCUCAACCGUGGAAUUGCACUUGAUACUGCAUCGCUAGAGUAUAGGAGAGGGAAGUGGAAUUUUCUGGUGUAGGAGUGACAUCCGUAGAGAUCAGAAGGAACACCCGUGGCGAAGGCGACUUCCUGGACUAUUACUGACACUGAGGAGCGACCAGCGUGGGGGAGCAUACAGGAUUAUAUACCCUGGUAAUCCGCGCCGUCAUGCUGAUGGGUACUAGGUGUUGAAAAGAUCGAACCUUUCCCCCUGUAGCUAAACGCGACUGUCUACGCCGACUGGUGCAAUACUGGUCGCCGGGACCAUGCUGAAAAAACUCCACGAAGAUACUAUGCC